CCUACGGGAGGCAGCAGUGGGGGAUAUUUCACAAUGGGGGGAACCCUGAUGCAGCGACGCCGCGUGGGUGAAGAAGCGCCUCGGCGCGUAAAGCCCUGUCAGCAGGGAAGAAAAUGACGGUCCCUGAAGAAGAAGCCCCGGCUAACUACGUGCCAGCAGCCGCGGUAAUACGUAGGGGGCAAGCGUUAUCCGGAUUUACUGGGGGUAAGGGGGGCGCCAACGGCGAUGCAAGCCAGGAGUGAAAGCCCGGGGCCCAACCCCGGGACUGCCCUUGGAACGGCAUGGCUGGAGUGCAGGAGGGGCAGGCGGAAUUCCUGGUGUAGCGGUGAAAGGCGUAGAUAUCAGGAGGAACACCGGUGGCGAAGGCGGCCUGCUGGACUGCAACUGACGUUGAGGCCCGAAAGCGUGGGGAGCAAACAGGAUUAGAGACCCCGGUAGUC
This 440-nucleotide ribosomal RNA is filed under the name uncultured bacterium. RNAcentral describes it as "partial 16S ribosomal RNA". It matches the Rfam family "Bacterial small subunit ribosomal RNA", at positions 338 to 795 of the family's 1533-position model. The record is from RNAcentral.